This 467-nucleotide ribosomal RNA is filed under the name uncultured bacterium. RNAcentral's name for it is "partial 16S ribosomal RNA". It matches the Rfam family "Bacterial small subunit ribosomal RNA", at positions 28 to 507 of the family's 1533-position model. The record is from RNAcentral.
GAUGAACGCUGGCGGCGCGCCUAACACAUGCCAGUCGAACGAUUAAAGCACCUUCGGGUGUGUAUAAAGUGGCGAACGGCUGAGUAACACGUGGGCAACCUGCCCCUUUCAUUGGGAUAGCCACGGGAAACCGUGGAUAAUACCGAAUACUUCGAGACUUCCGCAUGGAAGACUCGAGAAAGCUCCGGCGGAGAGGGAUGGGCCCGCGGCCUGUUAGCUUGUUGGGGGGGUAACGGCCUACCAAGGCAAUGAUGGGUAGCUGGGUUGAGAGACCGACCAGCCAGAUUGGGACUGAGACACGGCCCAGACUCCUACGGGAGGCAGCAGUGGGGAAUCUUGCACAAUGGGCGAAAGCCUGAUGCAGCGACGCCGCGUGCGGGAUGAAGGCCUUCGGGUUGUAAACCGCUUUCAGCAGGGACGAGGCGAAAGUGACGGUACCUGCAGAAGAAGCCCCGGCUAACUACGUG